This 331-nucleotide ribosomal RNA is filed under the name uncultured fungus. RNAcentral's name for it is "eukaryotic LSU rRNA". The stretch from base 275 to 331 matches the Rfam family "Eukaryotic large subunit ribosomal RNA", at positions 1 to 57 of the family's 3401-position model. Lineage: Eukaryota; Fungi. The record is from RNAcentral.
CCUUGGUAUUCCGAGGAGCAUGCCUGUUUGAGUGUCAUGAUAUUCUCAAUCUUGUUAACUUUUUUGUUAACUCGAUUGGACUUGGAGGUUCUGCUGGUUUCUUUCUUUGAAAUCGGCUCCUCUCGAAUGCAUUAGCUGGGCUUGUGCUCGAUGCAACAGUGUAAUAGUCAUAAGUUCACUGGUGCAACUUGCAAUAAUAGGUCUGCUUUCCAAUCGUCUUGUUACAAGACAAAUAUAUGGGAGGGGAACUUGGUUCUCUUCAUCAUGAUCUCUUUGACCUCAAAUCAGGUAGGACUACCCGCUGAACUUAAGCAUAUCAAUAAGCGGAGGA